Molecule: RNA transcript, 1389 nt
Organism: Fragaria vesca subsp. vesca
Lineage: Eukaryota; Viridiplantae; Streptophyta; Magnoliopsida; Rosales; Rosaceae
Exons: 2
Source: RefSeq, a predicted model, not a curated record
GUUCAUUCACAUAGAAAAUUAGAGAAAACCCUAGCAGCAGCCGAGCCUCCUCUUCUCCACCUUUGCCAAGUUCAUCCUCCCUUGCCAGACCUUGGAAGGACUUCUCCACGAAGGUAGCAGAGUUGGUGACUUGAAGCAUUGAAGCCGAGCAUCCCUUUGGCGUCAUCAAGCUUUCUUGGAGAUUGAUCAAAGUGAGCGCCCUUUAAGUCCCCGGUCAUAUCGACCCCUUCUUAUCAUAUGCUAUAAACGACAAAAAAGGGUUCUAAUUGUCACACCCGGUUUUCGGUGUCCGUCAUUUUUGUUAAAAGCAUGUGAUAUCAUUGAAAUAUAUGAUCGAUGUUUUCGCUUAUCAGAAAAGCAUGUAUUGAAUGUUAUUUUACGAGUAUUGAUAUUUGAUUGCAUACAUAAUGCAUUGUGAGGAAACAUGAGAAUAGUGAGAAUGAUGAUUCUAGAUAGGAGAAUGAGAUUGAUACAAUAGAUACAUUUUAUGUAGUUGAGUUUCCUCAUAGGUUGUCCUCGGGAUCUAUGAUUAGCCCAGACGUGCCCAAAUGUAGAGAAAGUAUACUCUUUCGAUGGCAGACAUCGAUAAAACUAUCGGGUUGCUGAUCGGGAGACCAUGAGUAUAACAAGAUGACUAACAAAAGAGAUACAGGUGGUGAGAUAUUACUGAUUGUUAGAUCAUAUAUUCGAGACACUUGAGUCACCCCGGUUGGUAAAAUACACGGUAUGGGACGUGUAGGCUCACAUGUCUUUGAUGUAUGGACUAAUAGCCAGUAAUUGAGAAAGACAUUCAUUAGCAUACAUGCAUCGAAUUAUCGUUUUAUUUGUAAAGUAUUGGUUGGCAUUGUUUGACAACUUAAUUAUUUGACAUAGUUAAGUAUAACCUAAAGAGGUUUGGCCCUACUGAAUGUAAGCUCACCCCUAUAGAAUUUUGUUCAGAUUUGUAUGAGGUACGCCACGUCUUUCGAGAAGUCUAGUUUAGCUGACGUGUAUAAGAGCCAAUAAGGAUUACGGAAGACUAGAAGUGAGAUAGAACACCAGACAUGUUUGUUUCGUCUUUGUAAUUAUUUUUAUUAUUGUAAACGUUUUAUUUCUUUUUAUUUUUACAAUUUUUAGAAAAGUAUUUGAAAUUGUUUUAUUUUCUUUUACUUUUUCCGCUCACGCCUCGGGUUCGACGUAAGGUGCUUGGAAACCACCGACAUCGGGUCCGGGGUGUGACAAGUCAAUCAAGCGGUGGGAUGAUUGGUGAUGAGCGGUUAGGCGUUGCGUACAAGCUUGGCGGCCGGUAAGCAUUAGGGGAAGUUUUGAACCUCUUCUGCUCAGGGUGCCCACUAUGGUGGGUGCUCUUAGCAGUUUGAGCAGUUUAGGGCAAUGGGUCUAGAUCGGGUU